AUAAUGAUACUCCUGCCUUGAACGUCUGCACGGCAUUGGGCGGUACACCCAUAAGUAUGGGAUAAGGUGAAAGUCCUGUGG
Molecule: regulatory RNA element, 81 nt
Organism: Clostridium puniceum
Lineage: Bacteria; Bacillati; Bacillota; Clostridia; Eubacteriales; Clostridiaceae
Rfam family: pemK RNA
Source: Rfam